AACGACUCUCGACAACGGAUAUCUCGGCUCUCGCAUCGAUGAAGAACGUAGCGAAAUGCGAUACUUGGUGUGAAUUGCAGAAUCCCGUGAACCAUCGAGUCUUUGAACGCAAGUUGCGCCCAAAGCCUUUAGGCCGAGGGCACGUCUGCCUGGGUGUCACGC
RNAcentral lists this ribosomal RNA (162 nucleotides) under Mediasia macrophylla. RNAcentral describes it as "5.8S ribosomal RNA". It matches the Rfam family "5.8S ribosomal RNA". From Rfam's summary of the family: 5.8S ribosomal RNA (5.8S rRNA) is a component of the large subunit of the eukaryotic ribosome. It is transcribed by RNA polymerase I as part of the 45S precursor that also contains 18S and 28S rRNA. Lineage: Eukaryota; Viridiplantae; Streptophyta; Magnoliopsida; Apiales; Apiaceae. The record is from RNAcentral.